CAGGUCUCCUAAAGCAAGGGCCCUCUUAAGUAAAAGGAAAAUCCUUACAUGCAGCUUCUGGAACUUUUUUCUUGUUUUGUUUUGGUCCUGUCCCCUCCCCACCCUUUCUUUUGUUAUUUUUCUUUUGUUUGGGGUUUUGGGUUUUUUUCUUUAACCAACAGCUGUCCUCAGCCUGCAUGAGACUGUUGCAAUAGAAUUAUUCCAAAUCUAAGGAAAAACAGUAUUAACAUCAAUUGAUCAAAGCAGAAUAAAGUUCUAAAAUAAUCUUAUCCAUCAGUUAUCCUGUUCAUAAUCCUCUGUGUCUUCCCAUUAACUUCUGCCAGUGUUACUGUAUUAAAAAAAGAGAUUUUUUAAAUGCUAAAUAAAAAGGUAUGCUUUAAGCUUCAGAAGUUAAAAUAUAAAUUCUGUUGCUUUUCUUCAGCUGCAGAUAACAGUACCUUUUUAUUGCUGUUUUCUUUGAGUAUCAUGUCCUUCACUAGAAACAAGAAGUGAUGUGAAACAAGGCUGAACUAGUCUGAACUGCAGUGAGACUCGUUCACUGUGUUGAUGGUUCAUCAUCUUAUUUAUUGCUUGUUUGGGAUAUUCUGGAGAUUGAGAAAUAUGCCUAUAAAAAGAAAGCUGGAUUGAUCCAGUUCUGUCACAGUGAUAUUGUUCAUUGGUUGUAUGUUUGUUGCAUAAAUAAGAAUUUAGUGUGCGCAGCAGAGGACUGGUACAACCAGUACCUCUUAAUGUGGAAGACAGCCCUGCCAGGGCAGCACUGCCGACCCAGUGAUAGUGUGGCAGCCUGCUGGUGAGCAGCUGAGUUCAUGGUCACUUGAUGGACGUGAACCAUCCUUGUCACCUUUCGUUCUUCAAGCAGGAUGCUUCAGAAUGGAGUGCUCUACCCAAGCAUGCUCACGACCAUGACUUAGCUGAGCACAAUGCUUCACCUCAUCCCAAAAUGCUUUUCUGGCACAGCCAGUCUGAAUAUUAUCACCACCACCACCAGUAUCCCACCAGUAACAACAACUACCUGUGGUAAGUGAAGAAUGGGGGUGACUUUUAAUAAUAAUAAUAAUCAUCAUCAUUAUUAUUGUUGGUAUUAUUAUUGUGCUAUAAUACACAAGAAUGCGGACUGUACGUGCAAUCUUGGCUAAUCCACAAGCUGAAGCCUUCAAAUAGAGCAGGUGAUUUGAAAAUAAUUGGAGAGUUACAUGGUGGAGGUUUACUUUGCUGUAGCUCUACAAUUUUCACAAGUCACGUCAGUGCGUAUGCAUGCUGCUAAUAGUAUUAGGAAUGUUUUACUGCUUAAUAUGAUAUUCACAGAUAUGUUUCAUUUUUGGUUGGAUUUUUUAAUAACAUUUUCAGUCUGUAGAUAAAACUGUUUAUAUGAAAUAAUACAGACUUAGAAAUACCUUGAAGUCUCAUAUCUACUUUGAUUAUUUUCUGGAGCUCAAUUGAUCUGCAAUGGUUUUAGUUUUGGGCUGCUUGUCAUAUCAGUGCAUGCUAAAUGCUUUGCAUUGAAAUUCUGAUGCAAUAUGCAGCUUAUUGCAUCAGCAUAUUCCUGUGAGCUAUGAACCUACUUUACCUCUGCGUGAUUGAAAUACUGUGUACAGUAUGCAAAUUUUCUUAUAAUUAAACAUUACUGUGCCUUGACAAGAGCUAGGCUCAUAGAUUCCAGAUAAUCUUGAUGUUAAUUAAGUUUCAAUUUAUAAUGUGCUUCACUCUUUGUAUUAAACUUUAGCUUAUUACUUUUUGCUAAAUACAAUGUACAUAAACAUGACAGCUUUU
Molecule: long non-coding RNA, 1770 nt
Organism: Ficedula albicollis (Collared flycatcher)
Lineage: Eukaryota; Metazoa; Chordata; Aves; Passeriformes; Muscicapidae
Source: Ensembl